Molecule: unclassified non-coding RNA, 346 nt
Filed under: soil metagenome
Description: partial contains 5.8S ribosomal RNA, internal transcribed spacer 2, and large subunit ribosomal RNA
Rfam family: 5.8S ribosomal RNA (bases 1-120)
Source: RNAcentral
GAUGAAGAACGUAGCGAAAUGCGAUAAUUAAUGUGAAUUGCAGAAUUCAGUGAAUCAUCGAGUCUUUGAACGCACAUUGCGCCCCCUGGUAUUCCGGGGGGCAUGCCUGUCCGAGCGUCAUUGCUGCCCUCAAGCACGGCUUGUGUGUUGGGCUUCCGUCCCUGGCAACGGGGACGGGCCCAAAAGGCAGUGGCGGCACCAUGUCUGGUCCUCGAGCGUAUGGGGCUUUGUCACCCGCUCCCGUAGGUCCAGCUGGCAGCUAGCCUCGCAACCAAUCUUUUUAACCAGGUUGACCUCGGAUCAGGUAGGGAUACCCGCUGAACUUAAGCAUAUCAAUAGCGGAGGA